GUAUAUACAAAAGACCUACAAUAAUGAAUUAGCUCCUCAGAUGUCAGUGGAAUGGAAGUAAUACACAUCAUAUGUUUCAAUGAAAUUAACAUGAUUAAUGAUGGGAUAAGACGUAGAGGAGAUCCUAUAGCUACAGUACAUGUACAUGUAACUGCAAAUGUAUUCCAAGAGUUUAUGGCUGAUUAUACAGGAUUUUAUCAUUGAAGCAACAUCUUAGAAGGAUAAGUGCAAAUGUAUGAAGGAAGCCUUGUGUACAAAUACAUGUAGCAAUUACAUGCAGGAGAGAACACUUAAACAUUACUAACAUGUAGUCAUGAUAUUGGAGUGGUGCAUUCUAGAAAUCUAAACACCUGGAAUUAAAAAUUGUGUAUAC
Molecule: long non-coding RNA, 373 nt
Organism: Mytilus californianus (California mussel)
Lineage: Eukaryota; Metazoa; Mollusca; Bivalvia; Mytilida; Mytilidae
Exons: 3
Source: RefSeq, a predicted model, not a curated record